Non-coding RNA from Stegodyphus mimosarum, 73 nucleotides. NCBI's taxonomy places the organism in Eukaryota, Metazoa, Arthropoda, Arachnida, Araneae, Eresidae. The record is from Rfam.
GCCUUCGUGGUAUAGUAGUCAGCACGCUCGACCCGUAUUCGAGAAGUCAGUGGUUCGAGUCCUGGCGAGGGCA